ACCCCCAUGGUGGCGCAGCAAGGACGGGAGAGAGACGGCGCCACCCCCUCAUCUCCCUGCAAAACCAGCAGUGGCGGUGGUGGGGGUGCGCCCGCACUGGGGGGGCCCCCUGCAGCACCCUGCAAUGGUGGUGGAGACAUCUGCACAGCACUGUGGUUACCAUGGCAAUGACAACGCUGAGGGCAGCAGCACCACUGAUGGAGGGAUUGCAACACUACAGCAAAAAUUUCAACAGCAUUUUUCCAAUUUUUUACAAGAGUCAGAAAAUGUAACGGAACACACAGCAAUACCGAGUCAUUGUCCAAGAUGCAAAGAAGGAUAAACAUUAUGCAAAUCAAUGUUAUUUCAAAUAUGAUAUUGAUGAAAAUCACUGUAUAAAGAUAGAAGUAUUAGUAAUGAUUUACCUACCAAAAAUGUCACUGAAAACAAAGCAUUUGAGAAAUGUGCAGAACCUGGAUGGAUCUCAAUGAAGAAUGUAGAACUUAUCAACUGCAAGAAAGAACUGAUCUAUCCACAAGCAAGGCAUAAGAUGCAUAAAAGAUGUAGAUUGUGCAAAGAUUUGUGUUUCACCCACAGAAGAUCAUGGACUUCGGGGUUUUUUUAUAAAUGUGUGUUUUUAGU
Long non-coding RNA from Taeniopygia guttata (zebra finch), 621 nucleotides. RefSeq lists it as uncharacterized. NCBI's taxonomy places the organism in Eukaryota, Metazoa, Chordata, Aves, Passeriformes, Estrildidae. The record is from RefSeq and is a predicted model, not a curated record.